UGUUAAAAAUUUCAUCCAUUUAUACUAUUAAAAAUUAAUGUAACUGACGAAAUAACUAAACAUUAAUACAUGGUGUGUGAUGCGUACCUUAUGCUAACGUACUAAGAUCAAUUGUUCACAAUAAAAAUUGAUGAAAUUUUUAACA
Gossypium arboreum is the source of this 145-nucleotide microRNA precursor. It matches the Rfam family "MIR7502 microRNA precursor family". Lineage: Eukaryota; Viridiplantae; Streptophyta; Magnoliopsida; Malvales; Malvaceae. The record is from Rfam.